UACCGAGGUGGCAAGCGUUGUUCGGAAUUACUGGGCGUAAAGGGCGCGUAGGCGGCCCUGUAAGUCAGCCGUGAAAUCCCCCGGCUUAACCUGGGAACUGCGUCUGAUACUGGACGGCUUGAGUAUGGGAGAGGGAUGUAGAAUUCCAGGUGUAGCGGUGAAAUGCGUAGAUAUCUGGAGGAAUACCGGUGGCGAAGGCGGCAUCCUGGACCAUUACUGACGCUGAGGCGCGAAAGCUAGGGGAGCAAACGGG
This 253-nucleotide ribosomal RNA is filed under the name uncultured bacterium. RNAcentral's name for it is "partial 16S ribosomal RNA". It matches the Rfam family "Bacterial small subunit ribosomal RNA", at positions 524 to 776 of the family's 1533-position model. The record is from RNAcentral.